This 2123-nucleotide unclassified non-coding RNA is filed under the name Hevea brasiliensis (rubber tree). Lineage: Eukaryota; Viridiplantae; Streptophyta; Magnoliopsida; Malpighiales; Euphorbiaceae. The record is from RNAcentral.
AGAUGGUAAUAAUUUUUCUAAUUAAUUUAGUUUAGCGCCAUUUAUAUGCAAGGAAUUGUCUACCAAGGAAAAUGCAUUAAUAGCCAACGCUCUUGUAAUUUUUCUAAUUAAUUUGGUUCAGUUCCAUUAAACUCAAAGCACCAACCCUAAGCCCUAUCACCAGAAAAUGCAUCAUGGACUCCACAGCUGUAGGGUUUUUGUUUUCAACCUGGAAAACAAGCAUCUGGAUUUUGAAUUUUCAUCACUACCCAGUUGAAAGAGACAAAAAAACCUCCGCAACACCUGACCCCACCAAAAAAUCAGCUUGAGGCUUGCACGAGCUGUUGGGACACAAACAAACAAGUGUAGCAUAAAUUGGAGAACGCAGGGCACAGCUUUAUAAUAGAAUCAACCGUUUACAACAAGUUGACCAGCUAAGACACCCAACUAAAUCAGAAUUUUCUGGUCUGAGGACGUAAGAAAAACCCCCCAAGUUUAUAUAACAGUUGCGCCAAAGGUUCACUAUGACCACCAAAUAUCUUCUUUGGCAGGGUCCACAAAGCUUUUCACAGAAACAAAUACCUUCUGAAAACUUGCACAUAACGAGGUUAGCAGAUGGAUGAGAAUUUAUCACAAAAACCAUAAAACUGCCAGUCGAUGUUCCCAGAUAUCAACAUCCUUGAGUGACAAGCCUCACUUCAUUAGCUACCACACCCACAUUGUGCAAACAUCCAUACAAAAACUGGAAAGCAUAAUAAAAUGAUGAAAUUUAACUAUGUGAAACCAAUGUGAAAUGAAAUCAUAAGCAUGUUAAAUUGGGAUACCCCUUGAGCAACAGGUGAAUACUCUAAAAAAUCAAAUACUCAAUGACCCUAAAUUGCAAGCACCCAAAUGCAUUCCCAUACUAAAGUGAAAAGAAACAGUAGCUAUUGUUCACCAAUAAGUUUUCUGCCACCAACCGCACCCAAAAUAAAUAAAUAAAUGAAAAGAGAAAAGAAAAGGAGAGAGUGAGAACAAUAGAGGAAUAUACAAGCAAGGAUGCAAUUAUAAGGUUUCUAACAUAAUGCCCAUCAACUAGAACAGCUAAGUUUUAUAAAAAGAUGCCAACAGAAAUUCAGCAAAUGACAUGUUUAAGUGCUUUAAUAAACAAGUAGCUCAUGCAUGUCUGGUUAAUAGUUCAAGACCGCUGACUGCAAUGCUUAAUUAUUCUGGCCCCUAUACAAUUUAGUGAGGCACACAACACAAAAUGAAUAACUAGUUAAUAACUAAAUAGGACUUACUAAUCAUUAUGCCAUAUCCUUAACCAAAAAUCUAAAUAGCACAUUCUAAAUCAACGUUCUUCAGCAUAACUUAACCAAACAAGAACCCUCAUCAACAAUAUGGAAUCCGCCACAAGAAAAGUCUUUGGCAUCACAAGCACUCAUUGAUAAGACAGUUCCCUUUACUACAAACUUCCAUUUUCCAUUGAAGAAACAACAUUAAGAGUUCAUGGGUAAUAACAGAAAUACACAUAUAGGUAUGAGGAAGGAUGUGAAUGGGCCAAUCAGCAUAGACGAAAUUAGAUAAGGAAACUUGGUGAUGUAAGGGUAGGCUAAGCCGGCCUCCAAAAACACCCAGUCAAAAGGGACUACCCGCUAUUGACUAUAAAUGUUACUUCUAAAUCAUCAUGCCAUUUCUCUAUACAAGCUCCCUUGUUCCUAGUCCCAAAAUUACAUUUCAUAAACAUAGUUGAACCAAACAUCAGCAACUCUCUUUAAAUAACAUGAAUGCUUGUACCACAACACCAUCCCUAACAACAUACGAACUGCUAAACCAACUCAUAAAUUAUUAGUAUCUCUCACAGGCUCAGAAAUUUAUUUUCAACAUAGAAGUAUUGCCCUAAAGCAAUCAACUUGAACUAUGCAACUCCGCAUCUUUGGUAAAUCAAUUUCUUAAAUGCAUGUUUCACAGCAAACACUAUAUGCUCAGAUUCAAAAAUAAAUAUCUACAUGACAAAAUUAACUAUUGACCAAUUUAUGAAACAAUAUGAGCACUCCUGAAACCCAAUAUAUGUUUUGAGUUCUGUCACCUGCCACAUAAAAGCUACGAAGAGACAUCAGAAUAAUAAAACAAGCUAAAGGAAGAAAAAAAAAAGGAGGAAGCAG